Molecule: ribosomal RNA, 254 nt
Filed under: uncultured bacterium
Lineage: Bacteria
Description: partial 16S ribosomal RNA
Rfam family: Bacterial small subunit ribosomal RNA
Source: RNAcentral
UACGGGGGGAGCAAGCGUUGUUCGGAUUUACUGGGCGUAAAGGGCGCGUAGGCGGUCGUGACAAGUCACUUGUGAAAUCUCCGGGCUUAACUCGGAACGGUCAAGUGAUACUGUCGGACUAGAGUACAGAAGGGGCAACUGGAAUUCUCGGUGUAGCGGUGAAAUGCGUAGAUAUCGAGAGGAACACCUGCGGCGAAGGCGGCUCUCUGGGACGGUACUGACGCUGAGGCGCGAAAGCGUGGGUAGCAAACAGG